AUGAGGCCAGUGCCACCUAAGUGCACGGCAGUAUUCUAAGGACUAAAUGAAACCAUGUAAGUGAAAUGUGCGGUGAAGGCUCUGCAGACGGUUACUUCAGCAGGGGCCCUUCCUGUGGGUCACAAGGCAGACAAUGAGAACACAACACAGACUCUGGGAAGAACUCUGAACCCUCAGGGAUAACUCUCAAGGACACUGGGUGUUGAAAAUGACCAUGAGAGUACGACCCUUUGAAUAUCUGAUUUCUCAUCACCAUCCCCCAGUCACACGGCCUCUCUACUGCUCCCAGGAUCUUCUAAAAGAAGAAAUUGCU
This is a long non-coding RNA of Peromyscus leucopus (white-footed mouse), 313 nucleotides long. RefSeq lists it as uncharacterized. The record is from RefSeq and is a predicted model, not a curated record. NCBI's taxonomy places the organism in Eukaryota, Metazoa, Chordata, Mammalia, Rodentia, Cricetidae. The transcript has 3 exons.